GGCUGGUUAGCUUAGUCAGUUGAGUGUGGCGCUGAGAAUGCCAAGGUCGUGGGUUCAAUUCCCGCUUGGUCCC
This is a non-coding RNA of Apaloderma vittatum (bar-tailed trogon), 73 nucleotides long. The record is from Rfam. Lineage: Eukaryota; Metazoa; Chordata; Aves; Trogoniformes; Trogonidae.